GAUGAACGCUGGCGGCGUGCCUAAUACAUGCAAGUCGAGCGAACGGACGAGAAGCUUGCUUCUCUGAUGUUAGCGGCGGACGGGUGAGUAACACGUGGAUAACCUACCUAUAAGACUGGGAUAACUUCGGGAAACCGGAGCUAAUACCGGAUGAUAUUUUGAACCGCAUGGUUCAAAAGUGAAAGACGGUCUUGCUGUCACUUAUAGAUGGAUCCGCGCUGCAUUAGCUAGUUGGUAAGGUAACGGCUUACCAAGGCAACGAUGCAUAGCCGACCUGAGAGGGUGAUCGGCCACACUGGAACUGAGACACGGUCCAGACUCCUACGGGAGGCAGCAGUAGGGAAUCUUCCGCAAUGGGCGAAAGCCUGACGGAGCAACGCCGCGUGAGUGAUGAAGGUCUUCGGAUCGUAAAACUCUGUUAUUAGGGAAGAACAUAUGUGUAAGUAACUGUGCACAUCGUGACGGGACCUAAUCAGAAAGCCACGGCUAACUACG
This 495-nucleotide ribosomal RNA is filed under the name uncultured bacterium. RNAcentral's name for it is "partial 16S ribosomal RNA". It matches the Rfam family "Bacterial small subunit ribosomal RNA", at positions 28 to 505 of the family's 1533-position model. The record is from RNAcentral.